UACGUAGGUGGCAAGCGUUGUCCGGAUUUACUGGGCGUAAAGGGCGUGCAGGCGGUUUGUUAAGUGCAGGGUGAAAGCUCCCGGCUCAACUGGGAGAGGUUCUUGCAUACUGGCAGACUUGAGGGAGGCAGAGGAAAGUGGAAUUCCCGGUGUAGUGGUGAUAUGCGUAGAUAUCGGGAGGAACACCUGUGGCGAAGGCGGUUCUCUGGGCCUGACCUGACGCUGAGGAGCGAAAGCGUGGGGAGCGAACAGG
RNAcentral lists this ribosomal RNA (253 nucleotides) under uncultured bacterium. Its description in RNAcentral is "partial 16S ribosomal RNA". It matches the Rfam family "Bacterial small subunit ribosomal RNA", at positions 524 to 776 of the family's 1533-position model. The record is from RNAcentral.